RNAcentral lists this ribosomal RNA (459 nucleotides) under uncultured bacterium. RNAcentral describes it as "partial 16S ribosomal RNA". It matches the Rfam family "Bacterial small subunit ribosomal RNA", at positions 338 to 795 of the family's 1533-position model. The record is from RNAcentral.
CCUACGGGAGGCAGCAGUGAGGAAUAUUGGUCAAUGGCCGAGAGGCUGAACCAGCCAAGUCGCGUGAGGGAAGAAUGUCCUAUGGAUUGUAAACCUCUUCUGUCAGGGAGCAAAGUCACCCACGUGUGGGUGUUGGAGAGUACCUGAAGAAAAAGCAUCGGCUAACUCCGUGCCAGCAGCCGCGGUAAUCCGGAGGAUGCGAGCGUUAUCCGGAUUUAUUGGGUUUAAAGGGUGCGUAGGCGGGUUAUCAAGUCAGCCGUAAAAGCGUGGAGCCCAAAUCCAUCCCGCCGUUGAAACUGAUGAUCUUGGGUGAGCGAGAAGUAUGCGGCAUGCGUGGUGUAGCGGUGGAAUGCAUAGAUAUCACGCAGAACUCCGAGUGCGAAGGCAGCAUACCGGAGCCCGACUGACGCUGAAGCACGAAAGCGUGGGUAUCGAACAGGAUUAGAUACCCCUGUAGUC